AAAAGUUACUGUGUGCGUGAACUAUGGAGGAACAAGUUGACCAGCUGAAUGAAACUAAAAACAAACAUAAAUUAUGGUAAAGGCUUCUCUUUCACCGUCAUAGCUCUUGAAAUAGUCAAAGCUUCACGGUCAACGUAAUGGGUCCCUCGAUCCACAGCUUGAUCUCCGUUUCCAUUCUCAUUAUUGUCUGUGACGCCAUUGAUGACGCUAGUUUCCAUCCACCUCUCCACACGUG
Molecule: unclassified non-coding RNA, 235 nt
Filed under: Hevea brasiliensis (rubber tree)
Lineage: Eukaryota; Viridiplantae; Streptophyta; Magnoliopsida; Malpighiales; Euphorbiaceae
Source: RNAcentral